RNAcentral lists this unclassified non-coding RNA (713 nucleotides) under Hevea brasiliensis (rubber tree). Lineage: Eukaryota; Viridiplantae; Streptophyta; Magnoliopsida; Malpighiales; Euphorbiaceae. The record is from RNAcentral.
UAAGUAAGCAUUUAGGUGAGUGAGUCUCAAACAAGAAAAGGAGAUGGUGAAUUCCUCUUAUGUUACCAUCAUUCUGUGUGCUUUCUGAUCUAGAACAUGAUUGAAACUUCAUUAAGUAGUUAAAAUGGUUUUAGCUAGAUGUUUAAUAGACCUGGGAAUGAAUUACUUAAAUAACUCUAACAUGCCUUAUGUUUCUAACAGGUAUUUCUUUUAGGCCAAACCUAUUACGCAUGACAUGAUGCAUACAAGGGUUAUUCAAGAUUUUUACACAAGAAAUAUAAAGACAAGAAAGAUGAAAAAUAAAUGAAAUACAGUGAAAAGAAAACAUAACAUAACAAAUAUAAUAGGGUGGGGAAUGAAAGAAACAACAUGUGUCCUAAAGUUAAGUUAUUCUAAAUCAGUGAAUGGGAGUGAAGAGUAAAUGGUAUUUGUGACUUAGAACUUACAGAAUUAAGAUUGUAAUGACACCAGUUCAACUUUUCAAUUGCAAUCCCCUCAUUAUUGAAAAAAGUGAUUCUUUUGUUCCAUCUAAAGGCAACAUAACAUACAAAAGAGCACUCUCCAAGCCAAGUGUGAUCUCUUUCUAAGUCACCAUUCCCAACUUGUAGAUAAUUGUAGCUGAUUCAAUUAUAAACCAAACAACCCAAAAGAAAAAUAACAAAAACAAUGCUUAUGAUUCCUCUGCCAUAGGAGCUGAAGCAAUAGAUCAGUAA